Molecule: ribosomal RNA, 253 nt
Filed under: uncultured bacterium
Lineage: Bacteria
Description: partial 16S ribosomal RNA
Rfam family: Bacterial small subunit ribosomal RNA
Source: RNAcentral
UACGUAGGUGGCGAGCGUUGUCCGGAUUUACUGGGCGGAAAGAGCGCGCAGGCGGUCGUUCAAGUCGCGUGUGAAAGCCCCCGGCUCAACUGGGGAGGGUCACGCGAUACUGAUCGACUCGAAGGCAGGAGAGGGUAGUGGAAUUCCCGGUGUAGUGGUGAAAUGCGUAGAUAUCGGGAGGAACACCAGUGGCGAAGGCGACUACCUGGCCUGUUCUUGACGCUGAGGCGCGAAAGCUAGGGGAGCAAACGGG